This 366-nucleotide ribosomal RNA is filed under the name Triticum aestivum (bread wheat). Its description in RNAcentral is "partial small subunit ribosomal RNA". Lineage: Eukaryota; Viridiplantae; Streptophyta; Magnoliopsida; Poales; Poaceae. The record is from RNAcentral.
AUGCUCAACUACGGCCGCAGCUUGAUCGAGCCCGACUUCCACUGGUGGGAUCGCAUCGACAAGGAUAUUUGGAUAGGAGCAGUUCCCUUUCCCAGUCACGUGCCACGGUUGAAGAAACUAGGAAUAACUGGGGUUGUCGCAUUGACCGAGCGGUUCGAAACUCUGGUUUCAAAAUUUGCAUAUGAGCUUCAUGGAAUGGAUCACCUCGAGAUUCCCACUACAGAUUACCUCUAUGCUCCCUCAAAAGAAAAUAUCGACAAAGCAUUGGAUUUUAUCCACAAAAAUGCAACAGAAGGUGGUAGCACUUUGGUCCACUGCAAGGCAGGAAGGGCACGAAGCGCUACCAUAGUUCUAUGCUGUAUUUGA